AUACGGGAGGCAGCAGUGGGGAAUAUUGGACAAUGGGCGCAAGCCUGAUCCAGCAAUGCCGCGUGAGUGAAGAAGGCCUUAGGGUUGUAAAGCUCUUUCGGCGGGGACGAUGAUGACGGUACCCGCAGAAGAAGCCCCGGCUAACUCCGUGCCAGCAGCCGCGGUAAUACGGAGGGGGCUAGCGUUGUUCGGAAUUACUGGGCGUAAAGGGCGCGUAGGCGGUGCGAUAAGUCAGGCGUGAAAGGCCCGGGCUCAACCCGGGGACUGCGCUUGAUACUGUUGCGCUGUGAGUCCGGGAGAGGAUGGCGGAAUUCCCAGUGUAGAGGUGAAAUUCGUAGAUAUUGGGAAGAACACCGGUGGCGAAGGCGGCCAUCUGGACCGGCACUGACGCUGAGGCGCGAAAGCGUGGGGAGCAAACAGGAUUAGAUACCCCGGUAGU
RNAcentral lists this ribosomal RNA (439 nucleotides) under uncultured bacterium. RNAcentral describes it as "bacterial SSU rRNA". It matches the Rfam family "Bacterial small subunit ribosomal RNA", at positions 339 to 794 of the family's 1533-position model. The record is from RNAcentral.